This 3311-nucleotide long non-coding RNA is filed under the name Triticum aestivum (bread wheat). RNAcentral's name for it is "long non-coding RNA (TAES_LNC015051)". Lineage: Eukaryota; Viridiplantae; Streptophyta; Magnoliopsida; Poales; Poaceae. The record is from RNAcentral.
CCUGGGCUGAAUACACUUCUUAUCCCAAAGCGAUAAACAUGCCUAUGUGAGCAUCACGACCCACAUAGCACUAGCAAACAGUUCUGUAUGAAAUCCUGGAAGCAUUUCAUUUUCUCAGCAAUUAUUUUCUUUAGAUCUUUCAACAACGUGGUGACUGUUCAUGUCCUUAAUUAAUCCAAACCUACAUCCCUUGUUAAAUCUAAAGACGUGUUUGCAUAAUUUUGUGAGUUUUUCCCAUGCUUUGUUGAUUUUUUCCCCUCUUAAUCUUUUAUUGUCUGUAAGUCACCAAAUGCAGAAGAUAGAUAUAGUUGUGAAGAUAAUGAAAACUUAAUAGUUUUAUAUGGUGAAGCAACCAUUUUAAGGACAACUGAUAAGGAAAAGUCGAACAAGGAUUAGUAGUCCAGUGUUUGGUUACUAUGCAACUAUCUUCAGCUUGAGUAAAUCCACAGUGUUCAGUUCAAGCCAUGUUUUGUAGGUAUCUUCCUUUACAUUUUCUUUACAAAAUGGUUUGUUGAUCUAGCCGAGGGCUUCACUUCAUUCAAUUCACUAUAUUUCAUUUACUAAGAUAAAAAUUCAAGUAGCUGCUGUUGCUAUGGUCAAUGGCUUGCACACUGUUUUUAUAGUGCAUAAUGAGCGUUGCAAACCGUAAGAAAAACACAUGUUCUUGUUCUAUUCAGUGUCCUUUUUAUGCCAUACUGCGCAAAUAUAUAAAUGUUUUAUGUCCAAUUCAUAGAAAUUCUUGACACCUAAGUGUGCGUGUGAGUCCCCUACAAAAUCUCUCUCUCUCUCUAAUUAUCUCGAUUUUCCUUUGAGAUUGGAGAUGCGAACACUAGCUGUUUGUAAAUGCACAAGGAGGAGUGCUCAGGGGAGUACGAUAGCUUUCAGGUGUGUUUUCUUAGCACUAGCAGUACGAGAUGCCAAAUGUUAGUUAAGAAGCUUAUGAUUUGUGCCUUUUGUUCUUGACAUAAGUGUACAUGGAGGAUGUGAAAGCGACGACAGAGGAGCUUGCUGUAGCUACUCGACUGCUCCGGGAAUCGUCCCUCCUGACAGAAGCAAGCACGAUGCCAUGUCCUAGAGUAUGUUCACGUACUUCUAUCUGCGUAAUGCAUGCAAGCAUGGAUCGAUCCAUGCAUGUAUGUAUAUAUACUGACAAUUAUAUGUGACUGAUUAAUUAACUAAAACUUGAGAGGUUAAAAGGACAAGUGUUUUCAAAUGAAGGAAUAUACUAUAUGUGCAGCUAACUACAUACACAUAUGCAUCAGUCCAUAAUAGUUGAAAGUUUGGAUAUUAGGUAUAUGUUAAAGAUCAGGGAUCCUAAUUGGCCAUUCCCAUACCACAAUUUUCGUUGUAUGUAUCUCAUGAACAUUAUGCUCUGUACCAGAAUUGUCACUGUAUCUCAUCAUUGUUUGGAGUAUAUCUUUGCAGCUCCAUAGAGUUAUUAGAAUGAUUUUACUUCCACAUAAUAGGCUUUUCAAAUUAAAUCACAAGACCUUCGUAAGCUUGCUUGGUUACUAUGUAGAAGGGUCUUCUUUCAAGGAGCUGUGGAUUUUUUCACAAUACAAAUAUGCAAUGCCCUUUGAGUCGUUUAUUUUAUUUUAUGAGUAAUCCUUUAUUAUUUGUCAACUGAGGCGUGAUUGUCGUGUGCACUUCUUACUGAAAAUAAUCCUGGUGUUAUUUUCUUUGAGAAAAGAAAUAGACAGCUCUAUGUGUGCUUCUUAGCAUCACAUCAAAUGGAAUAAUUGAAUAGGGUUAUAUAUUAUCAUAUUUGCAUACAUAAUAUCUUCUAUAAUUAUAUACCAGUGUAGGCUCUUGUUGUUAGAUGAUGAACUUGUCUUAUUUUAUGCCAAGUAGUUAAAUUUAUGUGCACCUUCUCAUGUGUUUACUUGUUUCUGCAUUUAUGGUAUGGCUUGGUCCUGUUGUGGAAAAAGAUCGUGAUAUGUUUGGCCAUUCUGUUUUUUCUUAAUCCAAUGACCUAUUAAUGUGACAAUUGUUUCCUCACUAUCUUAGAUUAGCAGUAAUCCUUCUUUUAUGUUUCUGCAAUUUCAGUUCGUGAUGUUUGCCUUUUGAAAUUUCCUUUGCAUUCUGUAUCUGCACAUCCCCUCUUGUGGUCUGUUGUAAUGGUCUACUGAACAGCCAUAUCAUCCUAUGAUUGCAUCGUUGCAUUAUAAUGUACCAUAUGCUCAUGCAUUUCUUUUCUUACCGACAUUGUCCUGAUGAGUUGGCUGGCUUACAUGUAGUCUGUUGUGCAGGUCUACUUGCUUUAGGUAGCAUUGCUUUCUGGAAUACAUCAUUGGAACCUGGUAACAUUCACUGCUUACAGUCAGCAAGACCAGAAGAACAUGAUUGUGUAUGAGUUCAUGCACAACGAAAGCAUCACCUUAGCUGAUGUUAAAUUUGCUUUGUGGAAUCAACAACACGCUAUUGUAUAUACACAUAUGGUUCUUUCGCAGCAAAAUUUUGUCCGUGCGGUUGUAUUUCAGAUCUUUAGAACUGCAGGGUAAUUUCUAUAUUUGCUGAUUUAGGUUGUCUUAGGCUGCAGCUUCCUGUCCAGGCUACCGUGUAGCCCAUAUCCUCUGAAGAGGAUACAUCUAAAUGAAAACUUGGAAUUACCUAGGUGCAUACAUAAUCUAUUGAUGAUGUGAAUAGAAACACCCACAGUAGCACUAACCUUUGGCAACCUUCAUGUCGUGCCUCCAAGGUAGGCCAUGAGUGAUGGCUGCCGUGAUGUUGGCCUUGCAAAAAAAUAGGGCUUUGCUAAUUGGUUACUGGCUAUAGGUUGUGUUUGUUGUUUACAUGUCAGUUUUUAACCAUUUGACCUAUCUUUUAUAGACAGUAUAGUUCACAAAAAAGAAACUUUUGAUAGAAAAUAUAUGGGUUUAUAGUAGACCAUUAUUAUAUAUAUGAGAGUGCACAUCUUACUUAUUGGCAUUGCUAUGCUUCACAGUAUACAAUAUUUUGCAUGCCAGUAUAAUUCAUAAGUGGUUUUUCUUAUUCAGGUGUUAUUAAUAUGGUGAGUGAUUGAAGAGGAGGCAUGAGGAGAAGAGCAGUCCAAAGGGCGGGUGGAGCAUGUGACUUGUUGAUGUUAGUUUUCAUUUCCGGGAAGAAUAAAUUUUCUAUGAUUUUAGUGUAUGCUGAUGUGUGAAAGUCAAUCAUUUGGAUUCCCAAUUAGACUAUUGUGUGUGUUCAAUAUUUUAUUGUGCAUUGAUAAAAUGUUUCAGUGCCAGUGUGCACAAGUUGAAUUUUGAAACAGAUGAGAGGACAACUCUGCAUAAAGCUUUGUUCGGUUACACCUCUUCCCACAGGGAUUGGAG